Molecule: ribosomal RNA, 459 nt
Filed under: uncultured Chloroflexota bacterium
Lineage: Bacteria; Bacillati; Chloroflexota
Description: bacterial SSU rRNA
Rfam family: Bacterial small subunit ribosomal RNA
Source: RNAcentral
AGACGGGGCCCGCACAAGCAGCGGAGCGUGUGGUUUAAUUCGAUGCAACGCGAAGAACCUUACCAAGGCUUGACAUGCCAGAAGUAGGAACUCGAAAGAGAGACCACCUGUAUCCAGUCAGGAACUGGCACAGGUGCUGCAUGGCUGUCGUCAGCUCGUGCCGUGAGGUGUUAGGUUAAGUCCUGCAACGAGCGCAACCCUCGUCGCUAGUUAAAUUUUCUAGCGAUACUGCCCGUAAAACGAGGAGGAAGGUGGGGAUGACGUCAAGUCAGCAUGGCCCUUACGCCUUGGGCUACACACACGCUACAAUGGGUGAUACAACGGGUUGCGAGAGAGCGAUCUGGAGCUAAUCCCUAAAAUCAUCCUCAGUUCGGAUUGCAGGCUGAAACUGCCUGCAUGAAGUUGGAGUUGCUAGUAACCGCAGGUCAGCACACUGCGGUGAAUACGUUCUCGGGCCUU